RNAcentral lists this ribosomal RNA (253 nucleotides) under uncultured bacterium. RNAcentral's name for it is "partial 16S ribosomal RNA". It matches the Rfam family "Bacterial small subunit ribosomal RNA", at positions 524 to 776 of the family's 1533-position model. The record is from RNAcentral.
CACGUAGGGGACGAGCGUUGUCCGGAAUUAUUGGGCGUAAAGGGCGCGUAGGCGGUUUGACAAGUCUGAUGUGAAAUCUAUGGGCUCAACCCAUAGCCUGCAUUAGAAACUGUCGGGCUUGAGUAUGGGAGAGGUGAGUGGAAUUUCCGGUGUAGCGGUGAAAUGCGUAGAUAUCGGAAGGAACACCUGUGGCGAAAGCGGCUCACUGGACCAUAACUGACGCUGAGGCGCGAAAGCUAGGGGAGCAAACGGG